Long non-coding RNA from Daphnia carinata, 373 nucleotides. RefSeq lists it as uncharacterized. The record is from RefSeq and is a predicted model, not a curated record. The transcript has 3 exons. Lineage: Eukaryota; Metazoa; Arthropoda; Branchiopoda; Diplostraca; Daphniidae.
ACCUCUCGUAUUCCAUGCUGUAUCAUUUGUAGCUGUACCUCAUGGUAAUAUUAGUUGCAUUCAGCCGUUGAAGAGGGUGAGACUGUUCAGUUUGGAUAAAGUUCAUCCAGUAGAAUGUAUGGAUGAUGGAAGCACAUUUUGGAGGCUCAAGCUACUCAAUUGUGAUAACACAUCAAAAAUGUAAUUGGGAGGUAAAGGUCAUCCAGUGUUACAAACAAUGUAUAGAGAUGUUCUAGAAAUAAAUAGUGCAGUGUCCAGUGAAGAGUAAAAUUGGUGGCAAUACAUGUACAACAGGAAUGGGCCUUGCCUAGAUGAAAGAAUAAGAAAUGAAACAAGGGGAUGUUCUGGAAGAGCUGGGUUCUUCAACAAAAGG